CAGUAGCGUAUAUUAAAGUUGUUGCAGUUAAAAUGCUCGUAGUUGAAGUUCGGAUGCAGCAGAGCUUGGAAACGCUGUUAUGGUGCUUCCGUUGCUUUUGCUUGUCCACAGUGCGUUGCAAGUACGUAUGUGCUUGUGCGUGCAUUUUACUUUGAGAAACAUAGGGUGUUCCACGCAUGUUACGGCAUGAAUAUUCCAGCAUGGGAUAAUCUGGUACGACUUCCAAUCUGCCAUUUUGGUUCGUAGGUUGGAAGUAAUGAUUAAUAGGGACUGUCGGGGACAUUGGUAUUUGACUGUCAGAGGUGAAAUUCUUAGAUUCGUUGAGGACCAACCACUGCGAAAGCAUUUGUCAAGGAUGUCUCCAUUAA
Molecule: ribosomal RNA, 368 nt
Filed under: uncultured eukaryote
Lineage: Eukaryota
Description: partial 18S ribosomal RNA
Rfam family: Eukaryotic small subunit ribosomal RNA
Source: RNAcentral